AAGUCGUAACAAGGUUUCCGUAGGUGAACCUGCGGAAGGAUCAUUAAAAAAGAUAAUAAUCCAAAUUUAUUUUGUGUGCAUCUAUUGAUCAAUAUAUUUUGACAAAUUUUGUUUUUUUGUUAUUUUAAUAUUUUUAUAAAAAUAACAAAAACUUAAAGAUUAAAAUUUAAAUCUUAAAUUUGUCAAAGUUUUUUUUAAUUUAAUACUAUGAAUUUUAAAAUUAAAUAUUAAUAAUUUAAUAUAAUUUAAUACAACUUUCAACAACGGAUCUCUUGGCUCUC
RNAcentral lists this unclassified non-coding RNA (281 nucleotides) under fungal sp. RNAcentral describes it as "partial internal transcribed spacer region". The stretch from base 1 to 46 matches the Rfam family "Eukaryotic small subunit ribosomal RNA", at positions 1786 to 1831 of the family's 1831-position model. Lineage: Eukaryota; Fungi. The record is from RNAcentral.